Molecule: long non-coding RNA, 5906 nt
Organism: Peromyscus californicus insignis
Lineage: Eukaryota; Metazoa; Chordata; Mammalia; Rodentia; Cricetidae
Exons: 2
Source: RefSeq, a predicted model, not a curated record
CCUAAAUAAAUAGAUUGUUUUUGUCUGUUUUUAAUUUGUAAACAUUUUUGUUUUCUUUGUAACAUCUUUCUUAUAGAUACUUAUAUAUUUAACCACCAUCAACACUAUGUCAGUCAUUUUGUGAUGAAUAAAUAAUGUGUCAGUAGGAUUAACUGGCUUUCCAGCUUCUCACAGGCUAGAGAUAGAAAGAGGGAAAUAGUAUGCUAAGCCCUGACAGACUGUCUUGAGUGUCUGUUCUUAACUAUGACCUCAGAGUCUUUCCACAUUGAAAAAAUAAGUGAAUCUCAGCUUUCUCUAUGACACAUAUAUAGUGAGUGCAAAGACUAAGGUUGUGAGAGAGUAAAAAAUAUUCCCCAUUGUUAUACACCUUACUUCACCACUUCCUGUUAUAGUCUGUUGUGGUGGUUUGAAUGAGAAUGACUCCCAUAGACUCAUGGUCUUGGCUACUCCUUCCCUACUUGGUGGAACUGCUUAGGAGGGAUUAGGAGGUAUGGCCUUUCUAGAGAAGGAGUGUCACUGGAGGCAGGCUUCGGGGUUACAAUAGUCUCGUACAUUCCCAGUGUACUCUCUGUCUCCUGCUUGUGGAUCAAGAUGUGACCUCUUAGCUGUUCCUGCUGCCAAGCCUUUGCUCUCGCAUCAUGGACUCUAACCCUCUAAAACUAUUAAGCCCAAUUAAAUACUUUCUUUCAUAUGUUACCUUGGUCAUAGUGCUUUAUCACAAAUAGAAUAGUUAUUAAUACACAAGAUGCUAGAUGACAACAUUUGGAUUUCUUUGAAGUUAUCGGAGCAUAUUUAGAUAAAAGUACUAGUAAGUACACAAUGAUAACGUUAUCCUUUCUUUGCUAUGAAAGAAGUAAGAAAACCACUUAAGGAAGGAAUUAUUUUUGGUGCAUGGUUUCAGGGGAUUCACUCCAUUGUCACUUCAAUAUCUUUCUUGUGAGCCAUCAUGUGAUUGAAGAAGAACAUUUGUGAACCUUGUGAUGAAACCUCCUGGAGGACAUUAUGCAGAGUGUAACAGUGGAGGAAUGAAAAAAAAUAAAAAAGGAGAGAAUUGAGGGAAGACAGGGAGGAAGGAAAUCUUUGGAGACAAGUUAAAGCCUCAGAUGAUACACAUAAUAGCUUAUUUCUUCAGCUGGGCCUGAAUUUCUAAUAAACCCAGCAAUAAAUUGAUCAUUUAAUUAAAAUAUCAGUCACUACACUGUUAUUAUAUAAUUACUUCUCACUUGCUCCACCUGGUGGUAAUAAAGGUUUCAACUCAUGAGCUUUUGGCGGGAGGAAGCACUUUCUAUGGAAAUUAUAAUAAUUUAAUGACAUGUUACUAGAUAGUGUUGCCAGAGAGUGUGUGUCGAUAUACCACCUAAAUGUACCUCUACUGAAAAGGAUACUGUAAUUUUACCACACCUGUGUAACCUUGAAGUGCUAAUCCAGGGUUAUAUGUGCACUCAAGUUUGAGACUUGUGGUGUACUAAAAGGAUGAAUUUUAUUUUUUAACUGAAUUCUUGAUUCUUAGUGUCUGUCUUAUGAGUGAGUGUGGGAUCCUAGAAUAGUCACUAUUUUAUAAUUUAUGCUUUGCUUCUUUGAAGAGUCUUUAUUAUUUUUUUCUGAGACUGGCUCUUACCAUGUCUCCCAGGCUGCUCUCUUGAUCUCAUACUCACUCUUCCUCGGCCUAGUGAGUGAGUGCUGGAAUUACAGGCAUGUGAUUUCACACUUUUCUUCAUAUUAGAGGAAAUAUUAGAUGAAGCGGAUGAGCUGGCUAUGAAGUUGGUGCCCAUGUUGGACCCAUUGGCUGGUGGCAGCGAGUUAGUUGUGACUGAGAACAGCAAAUGAGGCUCUAGGCUCUGAUGCUGGCUCUUCUUACCGACUUUCCAGCUUUAUACGAAUUCUUCAAUCUUUCAUUUACUCUCUUCUAUUCUAUAAGGAUAAUCAUGUGUAUGUCAUAUAGUAAACUCACUGCUUAAAGACCAAACUAACCAUUUGGUCACUUCCUAUUCACCAAAGUUCCUGGACAACAAUGCUAGAAUAACAUCUAUGAUUAUAAUUGUAAGGGAGCAGUCACCUUGGGAGCACCAAUUAUGUCAAUAAUAAUUGUAUGUUCGGGUCUGCUUGCCAGGUUCCAACACACUGUUGAAGUGGGAGUCGUCAAACUGGUUUCAGAAGUGUGGGAGACAAUGAAACAGCCAAAUGAAAGGUCACCCAUAAUCAAAAAGAAAUUUGCAGGAUUCACAUUUACAGAUUUAUUAAUAAAAUACUUUUGCUCUUCUUGCUCUAUUUUUCACCUUCUAUUUUACACCAGUUAAAUUGGUUGAAAAUAAAGAGAUACCAAAAGGUAGUUUGCCAUACAAAACAUAUGGAAGAAAGAGUUUGGGGUUGGAAAAUGAAGAGUUAGGCUAUUCAAGAAGGUGGCAUUGCUGGUGAGUUUCCUUUGGUGUGUGGGAACCAGAGAGUUUCCAAAUUUAGGAAAUUGUUCCUGGAAAACAAGACAGCACUACAGAGAAAACCAAUGAGAGAAUGAGUGUUCGGAGACUAUUGAUGAGUUUGGAUCACUGGAGCAGGCAGAGCUGAGUUAAUUCGUUGUUGAAGUUUCCAGCUCAUGUACUCAGGAGAAGCUAACGACUGAUUUAAAAAAUAAUAAACCUUUAAGGGGCUAAAGUAGAUGGCAACCUGUCCACUCUCUUUCUAACAGAACAGAACCUCAAACUGAAAUACUGAUUGACUUUUCUUUAGACCGUAGCUCUGCAAAGUCUUAUUUUACUUCUCUUAUUCAAAUUGACUUUGGUGCCUUUGUGUUUGAUCACAGACAUGCAUAGGACUACAAAUUCAGCAAACGUCUCUGUAAAUGGUUGGGUCUUAAACUACAAUCCAAGGGUUAAAGAAUCAUUCAAAGCCCUUUCAGAAGGCACCCAAGACCAAGCCUGGUGAUGUGAGUUCAUGCCCCAGACUCACAUGGUAGAAGGAGAAAACCAAGGUCUGUACACCUUCCACUGUAAAAAUAAUGUCAAAAGUGACUGACUACAAAUAAAACUCCAUAUAUGAGAAGAACAAACAAAAUAACUGUGUAUUUUAAAUGCCAAUGAAAAGAAACCAUUACAAAAUUCUAAAUAUUUAAACAUCCCAAGACUUCUGCUGCAGUGAAUAUCUACAGUUAUAUUUGGAAAUAGAUGGGAAAUGUCCUUGCUCCUGUCAAUCUUUGAGAGAAUGGAGAAGUGGACCACUCUGGUAGUGUAGUUCUAUCUGAAGCUCCAGGUUGCAUUUGCCCAGUCUCCCAGGUCGAAUCUACACUUUGUAGAACUGAAACUUUACCAACAGAAGGUCCUUCAUUAACACAAGAUGUAUCACAUCUGUUCUGCAGUAGUCCAUCCAUAAAAAAAAAAUACCAGCUUUGUACACCCACUCAUACCUUCUGCAUCCCUGUAAUAAGUAAGCAGGAAUAUGUCCAAGAGAAUGCAAAAAUAUACAACAAAUGAAAAAAAAUGCUGAAAUUUUGGGUAAAUUUUUACUUCUAUUCUAUUUGCAUUGUUAUUUUUCUUUAUGCUGUGACAAAGGAGCUUAAAAAAGAAUUUGUUUUAUGACACAGUUGGAGAGGGUACAGGCCAUCAUGGUGAGAAAGGCAUGGAAGAUCUGGUGGAAACAUUCAGCUGUGACUCCUCACAUCUGUGUAGACCAGAAAGCAGAGAACAGGAUCCAUGAUGGCUCAACAUGUCCAUGUGCACUUCUGGUGUCUGGCAUAGUAGCCCUGAUAUCUUUGCCAAGGGCAGCAACAGAGGACUCUCCCAGUGUUUCCAAUAAGAAGUAGUUCCAACUCUAUUUAGAGGAGACUGAAGCUCCUCAAAUUUACUGGAAGCAGAAUAGAUCUUGCCUUCCAUCUCUAUUUACAUGACUUAUACAACUUUAUUCUUUUUUCUUUGAGUGUAUUUAUUGAGCUCUAACACUGAAGGCACCUUCACAGUUGCAUUUAGGUUUAUAAAUAACAUUGAGAAAACAAAAACAUUUUACAAAGAUUUCAAUUGAUGUGAUUUAUUUAAUAUUGAAACAAGUAGGAUACAGUGUGAAAGAAAUGCUAUUCCAUCACUCAUGCACUGAUCUACAAUGUGCUACCAUGUUCAGCAUUUCAGUCCUAGAUGUGGGAAGCCACAGCAUUCUCCUCCUUCACAGCUUGUGACACAUUUGUGAACCCAGCUCUCAAAGCACCAUCUGUGGCUUCUAACCUCUCAGAUUUGUUGUUGAAUGUGUCCUUCUCUUACUCUAGGAGGCACAGAACUUAGCCCAUUUCACACCACUGCAACCAUACGAGCUCUCACUCCCCCAUGUUCUUCAAUGCAGAACUCUUCCUGAUAGGCACAGAAAACUUCUUGUUUGUGUCAAUAAAAGUUGAAGAUUGAGGGGUGAAUACACAGAAAUUAACAGACCAAGAUCAGUGGAGGUGUUAUAUUUGCUAACCACAGUACCAGCAAGAUCUACUCCCAUUCAAUUAGUUCCUUAAAAGGACUCACUGAUUGCAAUGUUCAAGUGACCUAUGUUCUGGUUACUUCAGGCAGUGAAUAAGAACACUGUGAGAGCACUGAUGCAAAGGUAGGCAUUGUCAUCAAGCCAGAACUCCACAGAUGCCCUUGAACAAAGGGAGCUGGAAAAGGAGAAAGGGGGGGACAGAGAAAGACAGACAGUGAAGAAAGCAGAGAGAGAGAGAGAGAGAGAGAGAGAGAGAGAGAGAGAGAGAGAGAGAGAGAGAAGAAUGGCAGGAGGAAAGGAGAGAAAGAAAGGAAGGAAGAGUGAGAGACAGAAAUGUUAUGUGAUGGCUACCACAAAUAAAUAGACAUCUGCUCCUCCUUUUUAGUCUUUAUCCUCCUGUUUAUUCCCUUUUUGGUCUUUUGUUUAUUUCUUUCUUCUCUCUCCCAAGUUUCUACUUCUGCAUGACAAAUUUGUUUCCCCAGAUUAAUACUACUGGCUUCUGAGUAUCCAAAAUAAUUAAUUAUCCUUAUGAAUAAUAUAGAAAAAAAUGAUAUUAUGGAAUCAUGAAAUAAAUUGCUUCAUUCUGAUCCCAAGCCUUACUGCUUACAAACAGUAUGUUGUUAGGUGAGUUAUUUGAUUUCUUUGUGUCUGUUUCUUUAGUCUAAAAUAGGAGUAAUGUCCUUAUGCAUCUCAGAUUACAUUGUUGGAGUACAAAGGAUAGAUUAUCUGAUUUAAAGUCAAUAAAAUAAUGCUUGGUAGAUCUUAAUUAGUUCGGUAUCAAUAGCUGUUUGACAACAUAAUUAAGUUAAAAUAAUAGGAUUUUUGGUAUCUUACAAUACUCUUUUUGAGCAUUCUAUACAUAUAUACAGUGUGUUUUGAUCGUAUCUAUCCUUUACUUUUCUGUUCCUCCCAGACACCCCCCUCUGAUAUCAUGUCAUCUCCUUUAUUAUGUUUUUAUAAUCGACUAAGUCUAAUUAAUAUUGCCCAUAUGUCCAUGGGCAUACAGCCAUCUACUAGAGCAAAGGAAACCUAAUGGGUCACAUACAUGUAGAAAACUGACUCUCCUCUCUCAUCCUUCAGCAGCCACCAACAGUCAAUAGCUCUUAACUAGUGAUACUUAAAUAACAAAACAAUCUUUGUUUCAGUUAGGUGCAUAUAAUAAAAAAAUAUUUGCAACCUUAUAUUUGUAUAAACAUUCAUAAAGCCUUGUGACACACAAAAUUUGCAAUGCUAUUUCUACUUUAUAAAAGAUUCAGAAAAUUGUAGAUCCAGAAAUUGUGGAAUGCUUAAAACAAUAAAUUCACUCUAUAUCUUACCUGAUCCUUUGCAGCACAAAUACAAUUUUCUGCCAAAAUAUUGUGUUUGUUUCCUAUGUCCAAUAUAUUCUACAAUUAAAUAUCUAUGCUGUAUUAUUUUAAGGAAAUUGCAAAUAACACUAUGUUGUAUUUUUAUUGUUCUCA